Molecule: long non-coding RNA, 3205 nt
Organism: Numida meleagris (helmeted guineafowl)
Lineage: Eukaryota; Metazoa; Chordata; Aves; Galliformes; Numididae
Exons: 4
Source: RefSeq, a predicted model, not a curated record
GCCACCUGCAGGGAAAUGUUACAACUGUACAAACUGAUGCUCUUCUACUUGAGACUCCAGAAUGAAGGAAGGGAUCUUGCUGCCCUGCUUUGGUACUGCAGAUCCCUAUAGACCAAAGGAAGAGACAGGUGCAGGAGGUGACUCAGACCCCUGAUACAAUGCCUCUUGUUUCUGAGGGAGCUCUUUAAGGUGUGUCCCCUUCCGUCUGACAACAGAGGUGUCCUCAGAAUUGGAGAUCCUAUCAGCAAGUGCAGGAUGAGGGUAAGCUCAAUCAGGUUUGCUUAUCAAAACAUCUGUGAAAAGGCUGUGAAUUUGUGUGGAGAAUGUGGGAAUGUUUAUUCCAGCUGGGUUAUCUGACUGAAGACUUUACAUUCUGAUGAUAAGAAGAAAAUAUGGGAGAACAGUGCUGAGACACAGACCUUACAAAGUAAAAAUGGAAAUGAUGACAAGAAACAAACCUCAGAUUGCACUAGUGGAUGGGCUAUCUUACUACAGGUGCUACUUCCAGGAAAAUCAACCUGGACUUUGAAACCGAUAAGACUGAACAAGGUCAGAGGCUGGACUGGGAGGUGCACAGGAAAACUGCAGAGCUCUACAAGCCCAUGGUGGGAGCAGGAGGAACAAAGUGGGGAGAUAGGUAGAAAGGGUAUGAACGCACACAAGGCUCUGAGGCUGCUGCUCACUUCAAGCACUGGGUGCUGUGCCCAUGCUCUGCAAGUCCUCUGUCCCUGACCUCAGGAACAGGUUUGGUGGGCACUAGUGCAGCCAAAACCUGCACAUUUCCUCCUAGAGGGGCUCCCUGCACUGUAGCUGUGGGUCACAGGCUGAGCUAGGCCUGAGAGUGGGGAAAUGCCCUGACAUAACAGGUAGCCUUUGGCAGUCAGGUGAGAGGGAAGUGUCACUUGGAUCUGUUCUGCUGCAGGAAAGAAAGCUCAGAUGAGUUAUGACACUGCUGUACAUCCUGAGGAAGCAGAGCUAAUGUAUGUAAAGACCAACAAAGUGGAAAGUACUUAUAGGAAAAUGAGCUUUCUUGCUUUACAAUGACAGGAUUAGGCAGGUGUGUUAGCAAUGCAAACUGUAAUGAUCCUGGAGGGCAGCACUGGCAGCUUCCUGCUGUCCUUCCUCCCUCUCCCAAAUUCUGACUUGCUGUAUAAAGCAAGGAAAGCCCCCUAGUUUUCCAAAGUAAUAAAAAAUUUGCUCUUGGCAAAUGAAUAGUGUGUUUCCCUGCUUGGUUAUUGCAGACAUCAGGCAAAAUGUGUUGCCUGAAAAUGAAGUGUUAACCCUUUCUCAAGAAAGAAAAUGAAUAAAGGUUGCAUGCUGGUCAAGAAGAAACUCUGCUUCCCAGCCUCAGUGUUUGGUUGCUUUCACAGAUGCUGUUUUACUCAAUUCUGAUAUUCCCACCUAAGAGGUAAACAGAACGUGACUGAGACUAAAGGUCUGUCUGAUUGCAAGGAGUCCUGUGUUGGUGAUGUGGGGGAAGUAGCAGAACUGCUCCUCCCAUGUUUUGCCAGAAGAAGGCGCUUCUGAGAGACCUGGUGCAAAAAGAGUGUUCUGGUUGAUGCAAAGUGAAAACGGUGUCAUUUUUUCUUCCUGUUCCUCAGUGUCACCACGCACUGGUGUUUCUUAGGCUGGAUGUGGCUAGAGAGACAAAUUAGUUCUCAGUGUCCUUUCUUCUUCCUUGUCAGCCACCUGAGCUUACAGCUUAGUUCCUUUCAGGUUUGUUUUUGUAGGCUUCUGAGUGGCUGCGUCACUGUGAUGUGGCAGGGCCAGUUUAGGCUGAUGUCAUUCAGGAAGAACUUCUUUCUCCUGUACUGAGCCACUUCCGGAUCAAGCAGCUUUCUGACCUCUAGAGUAAAGCAAGUGGAUACUGGACCCUUCCCACCUGAGGAAGUUGGUGAUGACACAGGGCCUUGCAGGCUCUAGAAAGCUCAGGAUGCAAAGGAGAAGUGUUUCCAGAGGCAAACACUCAAGUGGACAGUCUCCUUCUCUUUCAAGGCUGACAGCUGUGGUCCACUCUGCUCAUCUGGAGAUGUUCGUGUUUACAGAGGGGGAGGUAGACCCAAGUGACUCCAAAGAAUAUGAAAAGGUGAAGAAAUCAGAGAAGACAUGCCCUGUCAACGCAGGCUUUUCUUAACAAGUGAGCUUCUGGACAAAUAAAGAAGGACUGUGCUUCCAGGAAUUGGCAGUUCUGCGUAACCGGCCAUUUGCAUUCAGAGCUGCAAGAACCCCGUGAAGCCUGCUGCCUAACACCGGAGUUUCCCCAGGAAAUUGCGCACCUAAAAGAAACAACAGAGGAAUUGAACAGUGUUUUACCCAAGGAGCUAUGGGAGGAGUUUGCAGUCAGAGCUCUGUUUGUAGGAUUUCUCAUAGAACGAGUGGAGCCCAGAUGUUCUCGGUAAACGGCUUUCAAAACAGUUGAGACCAGUGUCAAAUUUCCAGGCACGUGAUCGAGCCUGGAGCCAAGUUUGGGGUUGCUUUUGUGUUUACCCAAAGUCUGCGAGCUGAAUUGCACCGAAGGUUGUGAGUGGGUGGAAUGAAAUUCUCCAUAACAAAUAUUUGACCGGAUGCGCGGUUUAUCUUAUGUACAGGACUUUGAGCUUUGAAAAAAGGCUGCUGUGUUUUUGUUAUUGUAAUAUUUGAGGCAUACUCAGCUAUCUCUUGCUCGCUGGAUUUAGAACAGGCGUUGUGUUUUAACUCAGAUCUGUUAGCACUCUAGCCAUUAAGAAACCAAGCGUUUUAAAGCCAGAGGGAAACCCUUUCUAUAGAUGAUCAAUGAAACACUGCGCAUUCUUCAACGCUCUGCCUUGUCCAACUGCAGUGACCUCUGCCCACGUGGAGGAACGCCUCUUGUCAAAGGUCGACCUGGGUGCCUAAGUCACAUGCUAAGAUCUUGCUAAGGCAGUGAAUCAGCAAAAAUCUGACUCCCAUUUUUACAAGCUCGGAAUUUACUUUUGGCGUGUACUGUCCAGUGUCACACAUAGUGUAUGCCGCUCACUUUGAUGAGAAACUCUGAGCAUUAGCGUGGGAGGAGAACAUGAGAUUUCAAACGUACCUGGCAGCCUGCGAAGCAACAGCGUUUCUGAGGCAGUAUCCAGAGCAGGGCCCAGUCACUGUGGGGAGGAAGUCUGGAAGCUUCCCAGGCCUCGUGGCUGAGUCACUGGCUAUUUUAUGGUGUGGAAAGUCACUGGCAAGUGGGGCUUUAUAG